RNAcentral lists this non-coding RNA (77 nucleotides) under unclassified sequences. RNAcentral describes it as "Xanthine-I sequence". It matches the Rfam family "Xanthine riboswitch aptamer (NMT1 RNA)". From Rfam's summary of the family: Later it was reported as a ncRNA that recognised Xanthine. The record is from Rfam by way of RNAcentral.
GGCGUGAGUAGAAGCGGUCAGCCGGGCCGCCUCCGAUAACGUGAGGUAACUGCGCUCGGUCGGAAAUUGCUCACCUU